UCCCGUUUAGCUCAGUUGGUAGAGCGCGUCACUAGUAAUUUACGGAAUAAUUACAUGACGAGGUCAGUCGUUCGAGUCGGCUAAUGGGAA
RNAcentral lists this transfer RNA (90 nucleotides) under Irpex rosettiformis. Its description in RNAcentral is "tRNA-Thr". It matches the Rfam family "tRNA". From Rfam's summary of the family: Transfer RNA (tRNA) molecules are approximately 80 nucleotides in length. Their secondary structure includes four short double-helical elements and three loops (D, anti-codon, and T loops). The record is from RNAcentral. Lineage: Eukaryota; Fungi; Basidiomycota; Agaricomycetes; Polyporales; Irpicaceae.